This 519-nucleotide ribosomal RNA is filed under the name uncultured eukaryote. RNAcentral describes it as "SSU rRNA". It matches the Rfam family "Eukaryotic small subunit ribosomal RNA", at positions 1161 to 1694 of the family's 1831-position model. The record is from RNAcentral.
AGGGCACCACCAGGAGUGGAGCCUGCGGCUUAAUUUGACUCAACACGGGAAACCUCACCCGGCCCGGACACGGACAGGAUUGACAGAUCGAUAGCUCUUUCUCGAUUCCGUGGGUGGUGGUGCAUGGCCGUUCUUAGUUGGUGGAGCGAUUUGUCUGGUUAAUUCCGAUAACGAACGAGACUCUGGCAUGCUAACUAGUUACGCGACCCCCCGAGCGGUCGGCGUCCCCCAACUUCUUAGAGGGACAAGUGGCGUUCAGCCACCCGAGAUUGAGCAAUAACAGGUCUGUGAUGCCCUUAGAUGUCCGGGGCUGCACGCGCGCUACACUGACUGGCUCAGCGUGUGCCUACCCUACGCCGGCAGGCGCGGGUAACCCGUUGAACCCCAUUCGUGAUGGGGAUCGGGGAUUGCAAUUAUUCCCCAUGAACGAGGAAUUCCCAGUAAGUGCGGGGUCAUAAGCUUGCGUUGAUUAAGUCCCUGCCCUUUGUACACACCGCCCGUCGCUACUACCGAUUGGAU